This 253-nucleotide ribosomal RNA is filed under the name uncultured bacterium. RNAcentral's name for it is "partial 16S ribosomal RNA". It matches the Rfam family "Bacterial small subunit ribosomal RNA", at positions 524 to 776 of the family's 1533-position model. The record is from RNAcentral.
GACGAACCGUACGAACGUUAUUCGGAAUUACUGGGCUUAAAGGGUGCGUAGGCUGCGCGGAAAGUUGGGUGUGAAAUCCCUCGGCUCAACCGAGGAACUGCGCUCAAAACUACCGUGCUCGAGGGAGACAGAGGUGAGCGGAACUUAGGGUGGAGCGGUGAAAUGCGUUGAUAUCCUAAGGAACACCCGUGGCGAAGGCGGCUCACUGGGCUGACCUUGACGCUGAGGCGCGAAGGCGUGGGGAGCGAACGGG